RNAcentral lists this unclassified non-coding RNA (153 nucleotides) under uncultured Phaeosphaeriaceae. RNAcentral's name for it is "sequence contains ITS1". The record is from RNAcentral. Lineage: Eukaryota; Fungi; Ascomycota; Dothideomycetes; Pleosporales; Phaeosphaeriaceae.
CUAUUCAGGACAAACGGGGGGUCUAUCUCGGUAGCCCUCUGCCUGCAUCCGUGUUUUUUGCGUACUUUAUGUUUCCUCGGUAGGCUUGCCUGCCGGUUGGACACCUUAAACUCUUUUGCAAUUGCAGUCAGCGUCUGAAAACAAUAAUAAUUA